GGGUUGUGAGGUUAAGCGACUAAGCGUACACGGUGGAUGCCCUGGCAGUCAGAGGCGAUGAAGGACGUGCUAAUCUGCGAUAAGCGUCGGUAAGGUGAUAUGAACCGUUAUAACCGGCGAUUUCCGAAUGGGGAAACCCAGUGUGAUUCGUCACACUAUCAUUAACUGAAUCCAUAGGUUAAUGAGGCGAACCGGGGGAACUGAAACAUCUAAGUACCCCGAGGAAAAGAAAUCAACCGAGAUUCCCCCAGUAGCGGCGAGCGAACGGGGAGCAGCCCAGAGCCUGAAUCAGUGUGUGUGUUAGUGGAAGCGUCUGGAAAGGCGCGCGAUACAGGGUGACAGCCCCGUACACAAAAAUGCACAUACUGUGAGCUCGAUGAGUAGGGCGGGACACGUGGUAUCCUGUCUGAAUAUGGGGGGACCAUCCUCCAAGGCUAAAUACUCCUGACUGACCGAUAGUGAACCAGUACCGUGAGGGAAAGGCGAAAAGAACCCCGGCGAGGGGAGUGAAAAAGAACCUGAAACCGUGUACGUACAAGCAGUGGGAGCCUCUUAAUGGGGUGACUGCGUACCUUUUGUAUAAUGGGUCAGCGACUUAUAUUCUGUAGCAAGGUUAACCGAAUAGGGGAGCCGAAGGGAAACCGAGUCUUAACUGGGCGUUAAGUUGCAGGGUAUAGACCCGAAACCCGGUGAUCUAGCCAUGGGCAGGUUGAAGGUUGGGUAACACUAACUGGAGGACCGAACCGACUAAUGUUGAAAAAUUAGCGGAUGACUUGUGGCUGGGGGUGAAAGGCCAAUCAAACCGGGAGAUAGCUGGUUCUCCCCGAAAGCUAUUUAGGUAGCGCCUCGUGAAUUCAUCUCCGGGGGUAGAGCACUGUUUCGGCAAGGGGGUCAUCCCGACUUACCAACCCGAUGCAAACUGCGAAUACCGGAGAAUGUUAUCACGGGAGACACACGGCGGGUGCUAACGUCCGUCGUGAAGAGGGAAACAACCCAGACCGCCAGCUAAGGUCCCAAAGUCAUGGUUAAGUGGGAAACGAUGUGGGAAGGCCCAGACAGCCAGGAUGUUGGCUUAGAAGCAGCCAUCAUUUAAAGAAAGCGUAAUAGCUCACUGGUCGAGUCGGCCUGCGCGGAAGAUGUAACGGGGCUAAACCAUGCACCGAAGCUGCGGCAGCGACGCUUAUGCGUUGUUGGGUAGGGGAGCGUUCUGUAAGCCUGCGAAGGUGUACUGUGAGGUAUGCUGGAGGUAUCAGAAGUGCGAAUGCUGACAUAAGUAACGAUAAAGCGGGUGAAAAGCCCGCUCGCCGGAAGACCAAGGGUUCCUGUCCAACGUUAAUCGGGGCAGGGUGAGUCGACCCCUAAGGCGAGGCCGAAAGGCGUAGUCGAUGGGAAACAGGUUAAUAUUCCUGUACUUGGUGUUACUGCGAAGGGGGGACGGAGAAGGCUAUGUUGGCCGGGCGACGGUUGUCCCGGUUUAAGCGUGUAGGCUGGUUUUCCAGGCAAAUCCGGAAAAUCAAGGCUGAGGCGUGAUGACGAGGCACUACGGUGCUGAAGCAACAAAUGCCCUGCUUCCAGGAAAAGCCUCUAAGCAUCAGGUAACAUCAAAUCGUACCCCAAACCGACACAGGUGGUCAGGUAGAGAAUACCAAGGCGCUUGAGAGAACUCGGGUGAAGGAACUAGGCAAAAUGGUGCCGUAACUUCGGGAGAAGGCACGCUGAUACGUAGGUGAAGUCCCUUGCGGAUGGAGCUGAAAUCAGUCGAAGAUACCAGCUGGCUGCAACUGUUUAUUAAAAACACAGCACUGUGCAAACACGAAAGUGGACGUAUACGGUGUGACGCCUGCCCGGUGCCGGAAGGUUAAUUGAUGGGGUUAGCGGUAACGCGAAGCUCUUGAUCGAAGCCCCGGUAAACGGCGGCCGUAACUAUAACGGUCCUAAGGUAGCGAAAUUCCUUGUCGGGUAAGUUCCGACCUGCACGAAUGGCGUAAUGAUGGCCAGGCUGUCUCCACCCGAGACUCAGUGAAAUUGAACUCGCUGUGAAGAUGCAGUGUACCCGCGGCAAGACGGAAAGACCCCGUGAACCUUUACUAUAGCUUGACACUGAACAUUGAGCCUUGAUGUGUAGGAUAGGUGGGAGGCUUUGAAGUGUGGACGCCAGUCUGCAUGGAGCCGACCUUGAAAUACCACCCUUUAAUGUUUGAUGUUCUAACGUUGGCCCCUAAUCGGGGUUGCGGACAGUGUCUGGUGGGUAGUUUGACUGGGGCGGUCUCCUCCUAAAGAGUAACGGAGGAGCACGAAGGUUGGCUAAUCCUGGUCGGACAUCAGGAGGUUAGUGCAAUGGCAUAAGCCAGCUUGACUGCGAGCGUGACGGCGCGAGCAGGUGCGAAAGCAGGUCAUAGUGAUCCGGUGGUUCUGAAUGGAAGGGCCAUCGCUCAACGGAUAAAAGGUACUCCGGGGAUAACAGGCUGAUACCGCCCAAGAGUUCAUAUCGACGGCGGUGUUUGGCACCUCGAUGUCGGCUCAUCACAUCCUGGGGCUGAAGUAGGUCCCAAGGGUAUGGCUGUUCGCCAUUUAAAGUGGUACGCGAGCUGGGUUUAGAACGUCGUGAGACAGUUCGGUCCCUAUCUGCCGUGGGCGCUGGAGAACUGAGGGGGGCUGCUCCUAGUACGAGAGGACCGGAGUGGACGCAUCACUGGUGUUCGGGUUGUCAUGCCAAUGGCACUGCCCGGUAGCUAAAUGCGGAAGAGAUAAGUGCUGAAAGCAUCUAAGCACGAAACUUGCCCCGAGAUGAGUUCUCCCUGACUCCCUGAGAGUCCUGAAGGAACGUUGAAGACGACGACGUUGAUAGGCCGGGUGUGUAAGCGCAGCGAUGCGUUGAGCUAACCGGUACUAAUGAACCGUGAGGCUUAACCUUACAACGCCGAAG
RNAcentral lists this ribosomal RNA (2926 nucleotides) under Escherichia coli. RNAcentral describes it as "23S ribosomal RNA". It matches the Rfam family "Bacterial large subunit ribosomal RNA". The record is from RNAcentral. Lineage: Bacteria; Pseudomonadati; Pseudomonadota; Gammaproteobacteria; Enterobacterales; Enterobacteriaceae.